UACGUAGGGGGCUAGCGUUAUCCGGAAUUACUGGGCGUAAAGGGUGCGUAGGUGGUUUCUUAAGUCAGAGGUGAAAGGCUACGGCUCAACCGUAGUAAGCCUUUGAAACUGAGAAACUUGAGUGCAGGAGAGGAGAGUAGAAUUCCUAGUGUAGCGGUGAAAUGCGUAGAUAUUAGGAGGAAUACCAGUUGCGAAGGCGGCUCUCUGGACUGUAACUGACACUGAGGCACGAAAGCGUGGGGAGCAAACAGGAUUAGAUACCCCUGUAGUCCCUGAG
Molecule: ribosomal RNA, 277 nt
Filed under: uncultured prokaryote
Description: partial 16S ribosomal RNA
Rfam family: Bacterial small subunit ribosomal RNA
Source: RNAcentral